UCGUACGAGAGUUUUUAACUCAAGUGGCGGACGGGUGAGUAACACGUAAGAAUUUGCCUCUAGGAGGGGGACAACAACUGGAAACGGCUGCUAAUACCCCAUAUGCUUUCGAGUGAAAUGGAUUUUUCCGCCUAGAGAGAAGCUUGCGGCUGAUUAGCUUGUUGGUGAGGUAAUGGCUCACCAAGGCGACGAUCAGUAUCUGGUUUGAGAGGACGAUCAGACACACUGGAACUGAGACACGGUCCAGACUCCUACGGGAGGCAGCAGUGGGGAAUUUUCCGCAAUGGGCGAAAGCCUGACGGAGCAAUACCGCGUGAGGGAUGACGGCCUAUGGGUUGUAAACCUCUUUUUUCAGGGAGGAAUCAAAUGACGUGUACCUGAAGAAUAAGCAUCGGCUAACUCCGUGCCAGCAGCCGCGGUAAGACGGAGGAUGCAAGUGUUAUCCGGAAUCACUGGGCGUAAAGCGUCUGUAGGUGGUCCAAUAAGUCAACUGUUAAAUCUUGAGGCUCAACCUCAAAAUCGCAGUCGAAACUAUUAGACUAGAGUAUAGUAGGGGUAAAGGGAAUCUCCAGUGGAGCGGUGAAAUGCGUAGAGAUUGGAAAGAACACCGAUGGCGAAGGCACUUUACUGGGCUAUUACUAACACUCAGAGACGAAAGCUAGGGUAGCAAAUGGGAUUAGAUACCCCAGUAGUCCUAGCCGUAAACAA
Molecule: ribosomal RNA, 708 nt
Filed under: uncultured bacterium
Lineage: Bacteria
Description: bacterial SSU rRNA
Rfam family: Bacterial small subunit ribosomal RNA
Source: RNAcentral